This 1426-nucleotide ribosomal RNA is filed under the name Lactiplantibacillus pentosus. RNAcentral describes it as "bacterial SSU rRNA". It matches the Rfam family "Bacterial small subunit ribosomal RNA". Lineage: Bacteria; Bacillati; Bacillota; Bacilli; Lactobacillales; Lactobacillaceae. The record is from RNAcentral.
CAAGUCGAACGAACUCUGGUAUUGAUUGGUGCUUGCAUCAUGAUUUACAUUUGAGUGAGUGGCGAACUGGUGAGUAACACGUGGGAAACCUGCCCAGAAGCGGGGGAUAACACCUGGAAACAGAUGCUAAUACCGCAUAACAACUUGGACCGCAUGGUCCGAGUUUGAAAGAUGGCUUCGGCUAUCACUUUUGGAUGGUCCCGCGGCGUAUUAGCUAGAUGGUGGGGUAACGGCUCACCAUGGCAAUGAUACGUAGCCGACCUGAGAGGGUAAUCGGCCACAUUGGGACUGAGACACGGCCCAAACUCCUACGGGAGGCAGCAGUAGGGAAUCUUCCACAAUGGACGAAAGUCUGAUGGAGCAACGCCGCGUGAGUGAAGAAGGGUUUCGGCUCGUAAAACUCUGUUGUUAAAGAAGAACAUAUCUGAGAGUAACUGUUCAGGUAUUGACGGUAUUUAACCAGAAAGCCACGGCUAACUACGUGCCAGCAGCCGCGGUAAUACGUAGGUGGCAAGCGUUGUCCGGAUUUAUUGGGCGUAAAGCGAGCGCAGGCGGUUUUUUAAGUCUGAUGUGAAAGCCUUCGGCUCAACCGAAGAAGUGCAUCGGAAACUGGGAAACUUGAGUGCAGAAGAGGACAGUGGAACUCCAUGUGUAGCGGUGAAAUGCGUAGAUAUAUGGAAGAACACCAGUGGCGAAGGCGGCUGUCUGGUCUGUAACUGACGCUGAGGCUCGAAAGUAUGGGUAGCAAACAGGAUUAGAUACCCUGGUAGUCCAUACCGUAAACGAUGAAUGCUAAGUGUUGGAGGGUUUCCGCCCUUCAGUGCUGCAGCUAACGCAUUAAGCAUUCCGCCUGGGGAGUACGGCCGCAAGGCUGAAACUCAAAGGAAUUGACGGGGGCCCGCACAAGCGGUGGAGCAUGUGGUUUAAUUCGAAGCUACGCGAAGAACCUUACCAGGUCUUGACAUACUAUGCAAAUCUAAGAGAUUAGACGUUCCCUUCGGGGACAUGGAUACAGGUGGUGCAUGGUUGUCGUCAGCUCGUGUCGUGAGAUGUUGGGUUAAGUCCCGCAACGAGCGCAACCCUUAUUAUCAGUUGCCAGCAUUAAGUUGGGCACUCUGGUGAGACUGCCGGUGACAAACCGGAGGAAGGUGGGGAUGACGUCAAAUCAUCAUGCCCCUUAUGACCUGGGCUACACACGUGCUACAAUGGAUGGUACAACGAGUUGCGAACUCGCGAGAGUAAGCUAAUCUCUUAAAGCCAUUCUCAGUUCGGAUUGUAGGCUGCAACUCGCCUACAUGAAGUCGGAAUCGCUAGUAAUCGCGGAUCAGCAUGCCGCGGUGAAUACGUUCCCGGGCCUUGUACACACCGCCCGUCACACCAUGAGAGUUUGUAACACCCAAAGUCGGUGGGGUAACCUUUUAGGAAC